GGAGCCUGCGGCUUAAUGUGACUCAACACGGGGAUACUCACCAGGUCCAGACACUAUAAGGAUUUGACAGAUUGAGAGCUCUUUCUUGAUUUUUGUGGGUGGUGGUGCAUGGCCGUUCCUAGUUUGGUGGAGUGAUUUUGUCUUGCUUUAUUUGCCGAUUACCGAACGAGAACCUUAAACCUACUAAAUAGUGCUGCUAAGCAUUUGCUGGUAUAGGACACUUUCCUUAGAGAGAACAAUCGCAUUUUCCAAGUCCAAUGGAAGUUUUUAAGGCAAUUAACAGGUCUUGUGAUGGCCCUUAGACCUUCUGGGGCCGCACGCGCCGCUAC
Molecule: non-coding RNA, 329 nt
Filed under: Lodderomyces elongisporus NRRL YB-4239
Lineage: Eukaryota; Fungi; Ascomycota; Pichiomycetes; Serinales; Debaryomycetaceae
Description: Eukaryotic small subunit ribosomal RNA
Rfam family: Eukaryotic small subunit ribosomal RNA
Source: Rfam by way of RNAcentral